UGGGGAAGCCCUGAGAAGAAGGGCCGGUGGUGGUAGGAUAGGGUUUGGUAAAGUCUCAAGAAGGCCGGUGGUGGUGGGGUGGUGACGGCGUGGGUUUGGGGAAAUCUCGAAAAAAAAGACCAGCGGUGAUGAGAUUAGGAGAGAAGAAGAGAGCUCGGCCCAGCAGGUGGGGGGUUUGGGAGGAGAGAAGGAUGGCCGAUAGAUGGAGCUUCUCCCUUGAAUG
This 223-nucleotide long non-coding RNA is filed under the name Elaeis guineensis (African oil palm). RNAcentral describes it as "long non-coding RNA (EGUI_LNC024786)". Lineage: Eukaryota; Viridiplantae; Streptophyta; Magnoliopsida; Arecales; Arecaceae. The record is from RNAcentral.